UGGCUCUGGCAUCGAUGAAGAACGCAGCGAAAUGCGAUAAGUAAUGUGAAUUGCAGAACUUAGUGAAUCAUCGAAUCUUUGAACGCACAUUGCGCCCCUCGGUAUUCCGGGGGGCAUGCCUGUUCGAGCGUCAUUACACCCCUCAAGCUCAGCUUGGUCUUGGGGCCUGCCCGUCACUGGGCAGCCCUUAAAAGCAGUGGCGGCGCCUCCCGGCCCUACGCGUAGUAUCUUGCUCUCGCGACGGUGUCGGGUUGGUGCCCUGCCAGAACCCCCCCAUUUUGUAACGAUUGACCUCGGAUCAGGUAGGGAUACCCGCUGA
RNAcentral lists this unclassified non-coding RNA (319 nucleotides) under uncultured fungus. RNAcentral describes it as "partial contains 5.8S ribosomal RNA and internal transcribed spacer 2". The stretch from base 1 to 133 matches the Rfam family "5.8S ribosomal RNA", at positions 22 to 154 of the family's 154-position model. The record is from RNAcentral. Lineage: Eukaryota; Fungi.